RNAcentral lists this transfer RNA (69 nucleotides) under Sphaerodactylus townsendi. RNAcentral describes it as "tRNA-Ala". It matches the Rfam family "tRNA". From Rfam's summary of the family: Transfer RNA (tRNA) molecules are approximately 80 nucleotides in length. Their secondary structure includes four short double-helical elements and three loops (D, anti-codon, and T loops). Further hydrogen bonds mediate the characteristic L-shaped molecular structure. tRNAs have two regions of fundamental functional importance: the anti-codon, which is responsible for specific mRNA codon recognition, and the 3' end, to which the tRNAs corresponding amino acid is attached (by aminoacyl-tRNA synthetases). tRNAs cope with the degeneracy of the genetic code in two manners: having more than one tRNA (with a specific anti-codon) for a particular amino acid; and 'wobble' base-pairing, i.e. permitting non-standard base-pairing at the 3rd anti-codon position. Lineage: Eukaryota; Metazoa; Chordata; Lepidosauria; Squamata; Sphaerodactylidae. The record is from RNAcentral.
GCUGUGGCUCAGUGGAAAAGCCUCUGCUUUGCGUGCGGAAGGUUCCAGGUUCGAUCCCUGGCAUCUAUA